This 355-nucleotide ribosomal RNA is filed under the name uncultured soil bacterium. RNAcentral's name for it is "bacterial SSU rRNA". It matches the Rfam family "Bacterial small subunit ribosomal RNA", at positions 26 to 408 of the family's 1533-position model. The record is from RNAcentral.
AGAACGAACGCUGGCGGCAUGCCUAACACAUGCAAGUCGAACGAGACCUUCGGGUCUAGUGGCGCACGGGUGCGUAACGCGUGGGAAUCUGCCCUUGGGUUCGGGAUAACAGUUGGAAACGACUGCUAAUACCGGAUGAUGUCUUCGGACCAAAGAUUUAUCGCCCAGGGAUGAGCCCGCGUAGAUUAGCUUGUUGGUGAGGUAAGAGCUCACCAAGGCGACGAGUCCUUAGCUGUCGUGAGAGGAUGAUCAGCCACACGUGGGCGUGAGACACGGCCCAGACUCCCUACGGGAGGCAGCAGUGGGAAUAUUGGACAAUGGCGAAAGACCUGAUCGAGCAAUGCCGCGUGAGUGA